GCUUGCUUUCUUUGCUGGCGACCGGCGCACGGGUGAGUAACACGUAUCCAACCUACCCUUUACUCGGGGAUAGCCUUUCGAAAGAAAGAUUAAUACCCGAUAGCAUAAUGAUUCCGCAUGGUUUCAUUAUUAAAGGAUCCGGUAAAGGAUGGGGAUGCGUUCCAUUAGGUUGUUGGUGGGGUAACGGCCCACCAAGCCUUCGAUGGAUAGGGGUUCUGAGAGGAAGGUCCCCCACAUUGGAACUGAGACACGGUCCAAACUCCUACGGGAGGCAGCAUG
This 279-nucleotide ribosomal RNA is filed under the name uncultured bacterium. RNAcentral describes it as "partial 16S ribosomal RNA". It matches the Rfam family "Bacterial small subunit ribosomal RNA", at positions 78 to 353 of the family's 1533-position model. The record is from RNAcentral.